UGGGGAAUUUUGGACAAUGGGCGAAAGCCUGAUCCAGCCAUGCCGCGUGAGUGAAGAAGGCCUUCGGGUUGUAAAGCUCUUUCGGCGGGGACGAAAAGGUCUGUAUUAACACUGCAGAUCCAUGACGGUACCCGCAGAAGAAGCACCGGCUAACUACGUGCCAGCAGCCGCGGUAAUACGUAGGGUGCAGGCGUUAAUCGGAAUUACUGGGCGUAAAGCGUGCGCAGGCGGUUUGUUAAGACAGAUGUGAAAUCCCCGGGCUUAACCUGGGAACUGCGUUUGUAGCUGGCAAGCUAGAGUGUGGCAGAGGGGGGUGGAAUUCCACGUGUAGCAGUGAAAUGCGUAGAGAUGUGGAGGAACACCGAUGGCGAAGGCAGCCCCCUGGGCUAACACUGACGCUCAUGCACGAAAGCGUGGGGAGCAAA
This 425-nucleotide ribosomal RNA is filed under the name uncultured bacterium. RNAcentral's name for it is "bacterial SSU rRNA". It matches the Rfam family "Bacterial small subunit ribosomal RNA", at positions 355 to 772 of the family's 1533-position model. The record is from RNAcentral.